Molecule: long non-coding RNA, 421 nt
Filed under: Homo sapiens (human)
Lineage: Eukaryota; Metazoa; Chordata; Mammalia; Primates; Hominidae
Description: long non-coding RNA NONHSAT159116.1
Source: RNAcentral
UGUCACCCAAGCUGGAAUGCAAUGGUGCGAUCUCGGCUCACUGCAACCUCCGCCUCCUGGGUUCAACGAUUCUCCUGCCUCAGCCUCCUGAGUAGCUGGGACUACAGGUGUGCACUACCACACCCAGCUAGUUUUUUUGUAUUUUUAGUAGAGACAACAACUUGAAUGUAAACAUAAUCUACAACCCAGUUGAGUAACUGCUGGAGGAGGAGGGAAGGGGGCAGGGAGAGGCUUAUAGCAAUUUAUCAUUGCCCCCUCAGUUUUUUGUUUGUUUGUUUGUUUUUAAGACGGAGUCUUGCUCUGUCGCCCAGGCUGGAGUGCAGUGGCGCGAUCUCGGCUCACUGCAACCUCCGCCUCCUGGGUUCAUUCUCCUGCCUCAGCCUCCCGAGUAGCUGGGACUACAUGCGCCCGCCACCACGCC